This 478-nucleotide ribosomal RNA is filed under the name uncultured organism. RNAcentral describes it as "partial 16S ribosomal RNA". It matches the Rfam family "Bacterial small subunit ribosomal RNA", at positions 331 to 800 of the family's 1533-position model. The record is from RNAcentral.
CGUAACUCCUACGGGAGGCAGCAGUGGGGAAUUUUGGACAAUGGGCGAAAGCCUGAUCCAGCAAUGCCGCGUGAGUGAAGAAGGCCUUCGGGUUGUAAAGCUCUUUUGUCAGGGAAGAAACGGUGAAAGCUAAUAUCUUUUGCUAAUGACGGUACCUGAAGAAUAAGCACCGGCUAACUACGUGCCAGCAGCCGCGGUAAUACGUAGGGUGCAAGCGUUAAUCGGAAUUACUGGGCGUAAAGCGUGCGCAGGCGGUUUUGUAAGUCUGAUGUGAAAUCCCCGGGCUCAACCUGGGAAUGGCAUUGGAGACGGCAAGGCUAGAAUCUGGCAGAGGGGGGUAGAAUUCCACGUGUAGCAGUGAAAUGCGUAGAUAUGUGGAGGAACACCGAUGGCGAAGGCAGCCCCCUGGGUCAAGAUUGACGCUCAUGCACGAAAGCGUGGGGAGCAAACAGGAUUAGAAACCCCAGUAGUCCCAUGA